Molecule: non-coding RNA, 118 nt
Organism: Apiosordaria backusii
Lineage: Eukaryota; Fungi; Ascomycota; Sordariomycetes; Sordariales; Lasiosphaeriaceae
Source: the annotation of a GenBank genome assembly
GGUCAGAUGGCCGAGCGGUCUAAGGCGCCAGGUUCAGGCACACCUGAAUUCCCGUUUGAAGCCAUUCAAAUGUCUCCUGGUCUCGCAAGAGGCGUGGGUUCGAAUCCCACUCUGAUCA